GCACCUGUGGCGGAACUGGCAGACGCGCCAGAUUUAGGAUCUGGUAUCGAGAGAUGUGCAGGUUCGAUUCCUGUCAGGUGCACCA
This 85-nucleotide transfer RNA is filed under the name Clostridia bacterium. RNAcentral describes it as "tRNA-Leu". It matches the Rfam family "tRNA". Rfam says of the family: Transfer RNA (tRNA) molecules are approximately 80 nucleotides in length. Their secondary structure includes four short double-helical elements and three loops (D, anti-codon, and T loops). The record is from RNAcentral. Lineage: Bacteria; Bacillati; Bacillota; Clostridia.